AUGAACAGCAUACGUUGGCAAACCACGUUGCUGUUCUCAGUACACUAUCUCUCAAGACAUUGCGAUCUGACCAGUGGAAAAACAGGAUGUGGUUAACUUUAUGGCUGUAAACGAUACUGACAUCUGUAGUGGUUAAAUAACUGCCUGCAUAUUGCCACGUAGAUAAUGCUGUUGUACUAUGUAUGUACGUGAUGUUAUACAAUAGUUAAAGGUCAUAGGCUGUUUAUGGAGAGAAAAUAAUCCACGCCUCCAGGCGGAGGUAAAAUAAAAGCGGAGACCAGAAUUACGAGGGGGGCUCCGAAAUUGAACUCUGGUCUCACCGUGUCUCACUGUGUCGUGAUAUCUACAUCUGGUGACCCCGACGUGAUUCAGAACAAACACCCUCGUACCCACUGGCAGGAUCAGCCAACGGUGCACCUCAGCGUACAGCUCCCAUUCGUAGCUGCAGUACUGGCAGAAGUGACCAGGGAGAAACCGGUUCGUCAAGCUGUCGUCGAACGUACCAAUCGUACCCUUAAAGAGCAUUUGCUUAAACAAAAACAAAAAGGAGGAGUACCACUGGGAUUGGCCACCAAAGAGGAGUGGCUGGCACAAGUGUUGUUUACCAUUAAUCAUUUAAAUUUGUCUCAAUCUCCCAAUACUCAUUUUUCCUUUUCUACUCGAGCGCAGCGGCAUUUUCAGCAGUCGGAGUCUCUACCUGCCCCGCGGGUGCAGUUUCGGCAACUACCAAAUCCAGAGUGGAAAGGCCCAGUUCCGCUUAUAACGUGGGGUCGAGGUUACGCGGCUGUGUCUACGCCUGACGGUCCUGUGUGGGUACCUGCUAGGUGUAUCCGGCCCUGGAAAGACGAUGUCCUGGCACGAUAAUCUUAAGAAUCCCAUCCCUAAUUUUUCUCUGCAACUUCAGGAUACUGGGAUGUCUUCCAGGAAGCGUGGUCGGAAUGUUCCGCAACCUCCCGUGACUUGGGGCCAAAUAAAGAACUUAGCAACACAAGCAGAAAAAGCAAUGGAACAAGCCGGGGUGGACAAGACAACUGAGAAUACCAUUCUUGCUUUAAUUGCGUCUUUAAAUACAAAUUCUAUUUUUGUACUUUGCAUUUGUUGGAUUUUAGGAAGCGCCGGGGCUGACAGGUUGGGGCAGGAGUUGGGGAUGCGGUUUCAACACAAUAUCUGGGUUCAGUUAGCAAGAAUGACAAAUGUGAGUGACUUUUGCAUGACUGAACAUGUACAGGAAAUGGGUAUGUUGGGAACAUGUUUAAUACCCGUAUGCAAAGCACCUGGGGAUAUUGGGAACAUUACAGGACUUGGGCGGUUCAUGAAUACUUCAGAGAUUAAAUAUCAUACUGUUUCGAAUUGGGGAACUCCAACCUUCCAGCUGCCUGUUAAUGCUUUUCAAUUAUUUACAUCACAUGUUGCAAAUUCCAUUAAUAAUACGUGUGCUCGGAUGGUUAAUUGUAGUCGACAUAAGGUGCAGAAGGGAUAUUUCUGAUACCAUCUGUUGCCUGAGUCGACUGGUUCCCAUUUUCCUUCAUAAAAGGGAGUUGCUAGCCCAACGUAGGAAUUGCUUAAUAAAGCAGAAAGUGUAUCACUAGCCAUCUCCCUUGUUGGACUUCCUGCAUUGGCAGUAAGUAACAGCAAUCAAUUACAUAAAUUAGCCUGUAAUUAUGUUAAGAUGAUAAAUGCCACCUCUCGAGCCAUUGCUUUGUUAAAUGAAGAGCAGGGUAUAUUAAGACAAGCUAUCUUGGAUAAUCGUGCAGCUAUAGAUUACCUGCUAUUACAACAUCAGUUGGGGUGCGAAACUAUAAAGAAUAUGUGCUGUUUUAAUUUAACUGACAACAGUUUUGAAAUCAGAACACAGGUAAAAAACUUGAAGGAUCUAGCUAAUAACAUUUUGCAGGACGCCCCUACAACUUGGUGGCAGUGGCUUUGGAGUUGGCUGCCCACUGGAUGGCUAAGUCAGAUUCUUAGAUAUGCUAUUCUUUUACUCAUUUUAAGUAUAGGCUUAUGCUGUUUUUUACAAUACCUGUUCCAGACGUGUACACCUGUUGCUCCGCGACCAUUACGUAGUAAUUACUUUUUGCUAAAAAAUAAAAAAGGGGGAGAUGUGGGGUGGACUGAAUGAACAGCAUACGUUGGCAAACCACGUUGCUGUUCUCAGUACACUAUCUCUCAAGACAUUGCGAUCUGACCAGUGGAAAAACAGGAUGUGGUUAACUUUAUGGCUGUAAACGAUACUGACAUCUGUAGUGGUUAAAUAACUGCCUGCAUAUUGCCACGUAGAUAAUGCUGUUGUACUAUGUAUGUACGUGAUGUUAUACAAUAGUUAAAGGUCAUAGGCUGUUUAUGGAGAGAAAAUAAUCCACGCCUCCAGGCGGAGGUAAAAUAAAAGCGGAGACCAGAAUUACGAGGGGGGCUCCGAAAUUGAACUCUGGUCUCACCGUGUCUCACUG
This is a long non-coding RNA of Rhineura floridana, 2447 nucleotides long. RefSeq lists it as uncharacterized. The record is from RefSeq and is a predicted model, not a curated record. NCBI's taxonomy places the organism in Eukaryota, Metazoa, Chordata, Lepidosauria, Squamata, Rhineuridae. The transcript is spliced from 3 exons.